RNAcentral lists this transfer RNA (70 nucleotides) under Camelus bactrianus (Bactrian camel). It matches the Rfam family "tRNA". Rfam says of the family: Transfer RNA (tRNA) molecules are approximately 80 nucleotides in length. Their secondary structure includes four short double-helical elements and three loops (D, anti-codon, and T loops). The record is from Rfam by way of RNAcentral. Lineage: Eukaryota; Metazoa; Chordata; Mammalia; Artiodactyla; Camelidae. RNAcentral also lists the same sequence under 2 other names.
GGGGAUAGCUCAGUGGUAGAAUGCAUGUUUAGUAUACAUGAGGUCCUAGGUUCAAUUCCCAGUAUUGCCA